RNAcentral lists this ribosomal RNA (1425 nucleotides) under Triticum aestivum (bread wheat). RNAcentral's name for it is "partial small subunit ribosomal RNA". The record is from RNAcentral. Lineage: Eukaryota; Viridiplantae; Streptophyta; Magnoliopsida; Poales; Poaceae.
AUGGACGCCAAGCCCGGCGCGCCCGUCCACGAGCCGCUGCUCGCGGCGGCGCGGCCCGGCAAGGACGCGGCGGACGACGAUGGGGCGCGCCAGGGCCUCGCCGCGGCGGAGGUGAAGCGGCUGGUGCGGCUCGGCGGGCCCAUCAUCGCCAGCUGCAUCCUCCAGAACGUCGUCAACAUGGUGUCCGUCAUGGUCGUCGGCCACCUCGGCGAGCUGCCCCUCGCCGGCGCCUCCCUCGCCACCUCCCUCGCCAACGUCACCGGCUACAGCCUCCUCACCGGCAUGGCGACGGCGAUGGACACGCUCUGCGGCCAGGCCUACGGGGCGCGGCUGUACCACCGGCUCGGCGUCUACAAGCAGCGCGCGAUGGUGGUGCUCUCGCUCGCCUGCGUCCCCAUCGUCCUCAUCUGGGCCAACACCACCAGGAUCCUCGUCUCCCUCGGCCAGGACCCGGCCAUAUCGGCCGUGGCCGGCGAGUAUGCGCGGUGGAUGAUCCCGUCGCUCGUCGUGUACGUGCCGCUGCAGUGCCACAUACGGUUCCUGCAGUCGCAGAGCAUCGUGCUGCCCGUGACGGCCAGCUCCGGCACCACGGCGCUCUGCCACCCGCUCGUCUGCUGGCUGCUGGUGUACAAGGCCGGCCUGGGGAGCAAGGGCGCCGCGCUCAGCAACGCCGUCUCCUACGGCAUCAAUCUGGUCAUACUGGCUCUGUACGUCAGGCUGUCGAGCACCUGCAAGAACACAUGGAGCGGCUUCUCCAGAGAGGCGUUCAGGGAGCUGCGCCAGUUCACCGCGCUCGCCAUGCCGUCCGCCAUGAUGAUCUGCUUGGAGUGGUGGUCAUUUGAGAUCCUUGUGCUUCUCUCUGGGCUUCUGCCGAAUCCACAGCUUGAGACAUCAGUGCUGUCAAUAUGCCUUAACACAGGUGCUCUGUUGUACAUGGUGCCGCUUGGCCUUUCUUCUUCUAUCAGCACGCGCGUCUCAAACGAACUUGGCGCUGGCCACCCAGAAGCAGCAAAGCUAGCGACGCGAGUGGUCAUGUACAUGGCCUUAUCUGUAGGAUUGGUGUUAGCCCUGACCAUGGUCUUGCUGCGGAAUGUUUGGGGGUAUCUGUACAGCAAUGAGCAGGAAAUCGUCACAUACAUUUCAAGGAUGCUGCCCAUUCUCGGAAUAUCUUACUUGAUAGAUGGACUCCACAGUUCUCUUUCAGGCGUGCUUACCGGCAGUGGCAAGCAGAACAUCGGCGCAGCCGUGAAUCUCGGUGCAUUCUACCUGCUAGGGUCUCUGGCUUGGCAUCGUUUCGGGCAGCUUCACCAAACUGGUGCUGCUCACAUUUAUCGCGUGGUGCAUAGAUUGGGAAAAGGAGGCACUAAAGGCACAGGACAGGGUCUUGGGCUCAGCUCACCUACUUCCAGUAGCGUAGCAACGUGA